This 837-nucleotide unclassified non-coding RNA is filed under the name Zea mays. RNAcentral describes it as "misc RNA Zm00001eb170260". Lineage: Eukaryota; Viridiplantae; Streptophyta; Magnoliopsida; Poales; Poaceae. The record is from RNAcentral.
GUUCCUGCCAAAAAGUCGCAUCCUUGGAGUUUUUUCGACCCGUAGUCAAUCCAAGAUUUUUUUCCUGUUAUUUUUUGCGCACUGCUUUUGGUUAGAAAGUUCAAGAUUUGUUCCUUCCUUCCUUGCUAUCAGCAUGUGUAGGUUGUUCAGUUUGGCUCAUGGGUCCCGAAUCGAACUCUUGUUUCAAGGCAGGGAGCUAGAGGAGGAGGAGGGGAGCUGGCUAGCCAGGCGAAGGCGGCGCCGCGCGCGUGGCCGUGCUGUGACAGCUGCGACGGCUGCACCAGGUCAGAGCCACCGCGGUGCCAGUGCCUGGACGCGGCGCCCCGCGGGUGCCACCCGGCCUGCGUCAAAUCCAGCCUCAUCGCCGACCCACCGGUGUACCAGUGCAUGGACCGCUUCCCCAGCUUCUGCCAGCGCUGCUGCACCGCCACCGCCGCCGCGCACAAACUGACCGCACGGGGCCAUCGAGCCAGCCGACGACUGGUUUCUAAUUGCAGCUUGGUAUUAUUGACCCAGCAACCUUUUUGCUCACCCACCCUCCCACUCGCCCGCCGGCGAAUCAUGGCGUCUCGAGUCUUUAAACUUUGAAGCCAACCAUGGAUUUGGAUUUUUGUUUAUGUGUAUUUGUGUAGACUGUAACUGUAAAUAGAGAUGAGGAAUCUGUAAUCUGGUGAGCGAGCAACCAAUCCGAGCUUAGGUUGUUCGUCUGUGGUGUGGUGUCCUUCUUCUUCUGUUCUGUUUUCUUUCUUUCAGUUACACACUUUGGUAGGUAGUUGGCAUUACUUUGCUCUGUAUGGCUGACUCUUCUUAUGUGAGAGAGAUGAGCACGGUGGAUCA